Molecule: non-coding RNA, 344 nt
Organism: Cinara cedri
Lineage: Eukaryota; Metazoa; Arthropoda; Insecta; Hemiptera; Aphididae
Source: the annotation of a GenBank genome assembly
AACUCUGCGAAGAAGACGUGUGUUAUUAUUAUUUAAAUUUUGUGUUCAAAUUGAAAAUAUAGUAAACUAUCUACCACUUAAUUCUGCACUACCGAUUUAAACGGAGCGAGACGAGUGCCCAUCUUUAGAGAUAAGCUUGAGUUUAUACUGUCGUCCAAUUUUCAAGGCAACGAACUGACAAAUUCGAAAAACGACUAAAGCUCUAAGGCUCUAUUACCUUUGUUAAAUCACGCGUAAAUAAAACUACCUACUGAAUGAAACAUAUUUUGAGCAUGUUCGCACGAAAGUAAAUACCUUUGAUAUCGUGUAAAACAAAAAGACACACACACACAUACACACUAACA